CAUGCCCCUACAGGUGUUGCAGAUGUGGCUGUCGUGCCACAGCUGUGUCAUUAGGUGGCGAAAGAAAGAGGUUGCGUCUACGCUCGGUGUUCUGAAACCCACGAGCACUCAGAAUGAUUAACAGCCUGACAUGC
This is a small nucleolar RNA of Crocodylus porosus (Australian saltwater crocodile), 134 nucleotides long. NCBI's taxonomy places the organism in Eukaryota, Metazoa, Chordata, Crocodylia, Crocodylidae. The record is from Ensembl.